GUCCUCGUGGCGGAAUUUGGCAUACGCGUACGGCUUAGGACCGUAUCCCGAAAGGGUUGUGGGUUCAACUCCCACCGAGGACA
Molecule: transfer RNA, 83 nt
Filed under: Candidatus Portnoybacteria bacterium RBG_19FT_COMBO_36_7
Lineage: Bacteria; Candidatus Portnoyibacteriota
Description: tRNA-Leu
Rfam family: tRNA
About the family: Transfer RNA (tRNA) molecules are approximately 80 nucleotides in length. Their secondary structure includes four short double-helical elements and three loops (D, anti-codon, and T loops). Further hydrogen bonds mediate the characteristic L-shaped molecular structure. tRNAs have two regions of fundamental functional importance: the anti-codon, which is responsible for specific mRNA codon recognition, and the 3' end, to which the tRNAs corresponding amino acid is attached (by aminoacyl-tRNA synthetases). tRNAs cope with the degeneracy of the genetic code in two manners: having more than one tRNA (with a specific anti-codon) for a particular amino acid; and 'wobble' base-pairing, i.e. permitting non-standard base-pairing at the 3rd anti-codon position.
Source: RNAcentral